CCUUUCAUUUCUUCAGAAUAUUCAUCUCUACAAUGAUUUGUGAAAUUGAUUAGAUUUAUGUUUAUAGACGAAUUGUUUUGUCACAUGAAAAGUUGAGUUGGGUGAUGCUUGGUUCUUGAGGACUUACAGUUGAACUUCUGCUACGGAAUCAAAUUGCUCGACUUAUCUGAAAAACCUAAGAUGAAAAACUUGGUCAUAAACUUUAAAGAACAUUAUUUUGGGGAUAGUUUUGAGCUUAAAAUUGUGGGUCCUUAUGUUGAGACAUUGAAAAUUUCCUGGAGUUGGGAUAAUAUCAAGUUUAAGUUGAUGAAUAUGUCAUCUUUAGUUAAAGCUACCCUGGAUUUUGAAGUUAUAGAUGAUGAGGAUGAUGAGGAUGAUGAAGAUGAUUACCAAGAGAGGUGUCCUAAUAAGGUUAAGGAGCUCGUUGAGAAUGUUCUUCCUGCUGAGCAACUACAGCUAACGAAUUUAUGUACUGAGGCUCUCUCAAUAUUGAGGAUGGAUGUUAUGGCGUCUCUAUCAUCGAAUUUGAAAUCUUUAAAUGUCGACUGUCGCGGUGAAGAGUACCUCUGUGGGAUUGAACGCGUUCUUCAGUGCUCACCUAAGAGAAGUUAGUUAUAUUUUUCGACUACGGUAGGUCCUAUAAGUCAAAAUCCGAUGGCUAUAGAAAGGGUUAUUGGACAAAUGCAGAGAUACCAAGUUGUUUGGAUUCCCAUCUCAAGACCAUCGAGAUAUCUGGUCUGAUAAGAAGUCGAGUGGUAAUUGAAUUUCUCCAGUUCUUGCUCAUGAAUUCAAAUAUGUUGGAGAAGAUGAUGUUCCGUCGUUGUGACUAUAAAUCUGGUUUGAAAUUGGCCGAGAAGUGGUCGAGCUUUCCAAGGUCUUCGCAGCAAGCAGUGUUUCUAGUAGAUACUACAUGACAUGGAAUAACAGAAUGCUGAGCUGAAAUGCAUGUGCUGAAAUUGUGGAAGUAACUGCUAAUGUGUGUACAUAGUGUGUGUUUGUAUUCUGUUUCUCAGCCUUCUAGUAUAAAAGGCUUGCUUGUAUCAUUUUUAAAGUUAAUGAGAAAAUUGAUAUUUCCCUUAAAAUUUCAAUACUA
RNA transcript from Mercurialis annua (annual mercury), 1093 nucleotides. RefSeq lists it as uncharacterized. Lineage: Eukaryota; Viridiplantae; Streptophyta; Magnoliopsida; Malpighiales; Euphorbiaceae. The transcript is spliced from 4 exons. The record is from RefSeq and is a predicted model, not a curated record.